This 468-nucleotide ribosomal RNA is filed under the name uncultured bacterium. RNAcentral describes it as "partial 16S ribosomal RNA". It matches the Rfam family "Bacterial small subunit ribosomal RNA", at positions 28 to 507 of the family's 1533-position model. The record is from RNAcentral.
GACGAACGCUGGCGGCGGGCUUAACACAUGCAAGUCGAACGGAAAGGCCCUGCUUGUGUGGGGUGCUGGAGGGGCGAACGGGGGAGUAACACGUGAGUAACCUGCUCUUGACUUUGGGAGAGCUUCAGGAAACGGGGGCUAAUACAGUAUAGGAGCUGCUGUUGGGGGGUGGGGGGGGGAAAUUUUACGCGGGUGGGGAUGGAUGCGCGGCUGAUGAGUUUGCUGGUUGGGGAGUCGCUGGCCUAGGCUGUGACGGGUAGGCGGCAUGAGAGGGUGACUGGCCACAUUGGGCCUGCGAUACGGACCAGACUCGUACGGGAGGCAGUGGUGGCGAAUCUUGCCCAAUCGGCCCGCGCCUGAUGAGGCAGCCCCGGGUUCGGGAUGCCGGCCUUCGGGUUGUGAAACGCUUUCGCCUGUGACGAAGCGUGAGUGACGGUAAUGGGUAAAGAAGCACCGGCUAACUACGUG